AGCUUUGUGCAGUGGCAGUAUCGUAGCCAAUGAGGUUUAUCCGAGGUGCGAUUAUUGCUAAUUGAAACUUUUACCAAUAAAUAUUUGUAUUUCAGUUAAAGGCAUAUUGUUAGUUUUACAGAAGAAGACUUC
Molecule: non-coding RNA, 132 nt
Organism: Ailuropoda melanoleuca (giant panda)
Lineage: Eukaryota; Metazoa; Chordata; Mammalia; Carnivora; Ursidae
Source: Rfam